CCAGGGAAUCCUUUGACUCACACUUGCAGCUUCCAGAUGGUAAUUUUGCCAAUGUAGGCAAGAUGCUAUUCACAGUUGCUUGUAUUUCUUAUACAAAGGGAGAAUGGGCCAAACAAAUGCUUUCUUGCUAUAGUGUGUUAAAGCAAAUCAGGUGAAACUGAAACCCUUUGUCAUUCUGUAAACAGAAUUUAGGAAGUGGCCGAGUAAAAACCAGUGCAAUCCUAUAAAACCAAACCAGUUGACUGAGAACCAAAGUACUCCUAGAGACUUUUGAAAAUUAGGUUGUUUGGGGCUGAAUAUCGGCUUCUUCCUGCUUUUUCAGAGUACCAGAAACCUCAUCUAUUUUGUUUCUAAAGCUUCCUUUUUUAGAUUAUGGUAACAUCCCAAUAAAUUUUAAGGAACUAUUUCUGUAGGAAGGUUUUUAAGAUUUUUGUUUGUUUGUUUGUUUUUGCUUAACCUUCUCUGUGUUCGUUUGCUCCACUAGACCCAAAGCAUUCCUUACUCUGCUCUGUGCGACUUUGGGCAGCUAUUUAACCACUCAGAGAUUUAAUUCCCACAACCAUGAAAUAGAGAUAAUGUACCUAUUUUCAGGUUUCUCUUGAGAAAUGGCAUAAAAUUACAUAAAUUCACAUACCUAGUCCAGUAUACUGAGAAGAAGGUUCAACAAAUGCUCCUUUCAUCUGAAUCUGAAGUCCAAGCCUCAGGGUAGAAUGAGAGAUAGAAAUGGGGCAGCUCUUGCUCUUGGAAUAUCUUCUGGGAGAGGAGAUAACCUUUCCUUUGAGAAAAAUUGCUGAGUAGACUUUUGAGAGCCCACUGCUUGCCAGACACAGUGCUGGGUGCUGAAGAAAAAGAUGAAUAAAAGACUUCAGCUUCCACAGAACUUAUGGCCUUGUUGGGAAGAGGGACAUUCAAAUAAAUAAAUCUCUAUCCAUGUACUAAGUGCAGCAACUAAAUCAUAUGUAACCUAGAGACAAAACAUAGAACAAAUCUAGCCUGAUGCUGCCUCUUUUUGGAAAUGAAUAUUAUUCUAACACACCCUAUACUCAUUCCUUUAUGUGUUCUCUGUGGCCACUUUUGCCUCAAAGUGGCAGAGUUGAGUACAGACAGUAUACUCUGCUUUAACAUGAUGCAUGUUCCUAAAAAUCACCACACUAUGCAAGAUUGUGCAAUAAAAUUCAAAGACACAUGGGGAAAAUCGCAUUGAGGACAACACUUAAAAACUUGGUCAGGGACACAUACAAAAUGGUUAGGAACCUGAUAAAGAUGACAACAUAAUUUUACACCUGUUAAAUGCUUUAAGAAAUAUAUAAAUACCCCAAUAAAUGUAGACAUUUACCUUAAAAAAGACUGGGUGAUUACCAGAAAGGCUUCAGCUGCUAAGCUAUCAAGUAGUGGAAGAAGGUGUGUGUGAGCCCUGACGGAGGAAUGCUGUAGCACAGGCUGUGGAUAGUGUGGUGGCCUGAGGUGGACGGUAGAUGUGGGGGUGAACGCAAGAGUGUGUUUUGUGCAUUCCUAUUUUGUUUAAGCUAGGUUCAGUUUUCCGUCCUCACCUAGUGUUUCUCACAGAGGAAAUUGUACAUAAAUAAAUGUGAAAUUAUGUUAUGCUCAUGUUGCUAAUCACAUUGAAACAGAUUCACAUUUUUGAAACAACUGUUAGAACUGAUUUUUGUUGUGACAGAGACCAUAUGGCCUACACAUCCUAAAAUACAUACUAUUUAGCCAUUUUUUGGAAAAUAUUUGCUGACCCCUAGCACAGAGGCAGGAGGAGUUAACUCUGAGGGCUCAGGAAGACUCCCAGAGGGUAUUGUGUCUGAAAUGUGUUAGGAGGCUGAAGAGGUGAAGAGUGACAGGAUGACACAGGGGAAUAGGAACAUUUCCCCACUUUUAUUAUUCCCUCUCUCAUCCUGUAUGUACAUUCCCUCAUUGCCACCUUCUUUCCUGAGAGAAGAGCUCUUCUGAAUUUUGUACUGAGUGACAUGAUACUACACUGAUGGAUCAGAAAACAUCUCUUUCAUUUAGGACCACUCAAAAUUGCAUUUGCCCCCAAAAUACUUCUCCCAACAGGCUACAUCUGAGAAAGGCGUAGUCUUGGUCAAUUUCCUUGUAGAAAAGCAGAUGGAUAAUCAGGAGUGUCAGCAGAGGGGCUUUUCAGUGUCAUUAUCACCCUGUUACAAAGUCCUCCCACUUACCACCCACUGUGUGAGGUCCAACUCCUUUCCUGGGGUCUGGUCCCAUCAGACCUUUGCAGCCCCAUCUCUGAGAACCAUAUUGAAUCACUCUCUAUUUCCCUCUGAGAGUUUUGAGUCUGUGUAAAGAUAUUCAAAAACAUUCCAAAGAAAUGGCUGGUUCCCAGAUCAGCAGGGUGUUUAUCAUGUAAUUAAAAAAAUUGACUUAGGAAAAAACCCAAAGAUGGGUCAGUUAAGAAGAGUUGGGUAAGUCGGUCAUAAGGAAAAGAAAAAGGAGAGAAGGCAUCCUGGUUACUUACCUGCAUCAGACACCUUAGCUUCCUGUCAGAAAACAGUUGCAUUACAUAACUCUUCUUGAUCUGCUUUCAUGGCCAAUCAAAUUUUUGCUUAUGAUUUGAAAAUAUGUGGUGGAUGUACUGAUGUGAUUAAUCCAGUCACGGCUUUUUGGAAGCAAUACACUGGCCAUCUGAUGUUAUAUAUCAGGUUCCUGCGUGUGGUUAAUGUGAGUCCACCUUGAGUGUCACCUCCACUCAGGCUCUGAAUAAGUCAGUUUUCUGGAUCUGCAAAUUGGAAGAUUGUAUUGGGUCCCAGCAAGUAAAUCAAUAAUGUUUAUUCACUUUAGACCUCUCUGCUGCCUACAGUGCUCUUCUCCAUCACAUCUACAUCUUUGGGUCAAGAACAAUGAAUGUGAUGCUUCUUUCUCACUCCCAGCCAAUGUUAUUCUCUGGUCUCUGAAACUUCCAGCACAUUAUUUAUACAAAUCGGUCUUGGAGACUUUCAACAUUUUAUCUUACAUUAUAGUUAUUUGCCCAUGGACCUUUUCUUUGUCUAAAUGUAGAAUUCUGAGAAAGUAGGCUCUCAUUUUCCUUUGUGUGCUGCAUUGUGCCUAGCACUCUGAGUGCUAAAAGAGCCAGCAGCAUACUGAGAGCAAUGAUAGGUAUAACAAUUGUGAUGUGAUGUGAUGUGUGUGUGUGUGUUGUGUUGAGAGCUCACAUGUGAAACAAAGGGAUUUUGCUGAGGGAGGAUAUACCCAGUCAUAAAGUCAUGUGGUGUGGGAGGAGAGAAAGCUGAAUAGUUGAGCCUAGAGUGAGAGCCCAGAACCCUGGAGAAGNUGUCUGACUCCAUGCUCUGCCCUCUUGAGCAUCAUGUGAGGGCAUCCUGUCAAUUUUGCCUUGGACCAGCUCCCUAUAAAAGGAGGAUGAUUUAACCAAUGGUGUUCAACAAGGUAGUAGCAGAAGAAUAAAAAGGACUCUCUGGCCAGUGCAUUAGUCCUGUAGAAUGACAUUUAACCUUGAACAGCACCUGUAUACCAUCCUGUAUCAGCCCUUACUUCUUUGUAAAAGACUACCUUCAUGCAGGCCCCAGGGAACACUCUAGAUGUCUUUGGAAGUAGACCUUAAGGAGUAAUACUUCUGACUGAGUUAACUUGCAGACAGUAUGCUCCAAGUUUGGAAAUAUCCAUGCACAGUGACUACGCCCAAGUGAUAGGAAUGCUUCACAAGCAGAGCACGUGGGUAGGGGAGGGUGAACUAUGUGAUCUCCGUUUCAAAUGAUUUGAAAAAUUUAAGAGCCUUUGAUUGCAUCUUUCUUUUUUUUUUUCAUUACAAAAAGAAAGUAUAGCUGUUAAGUGUCAUGCAGUGGAAAGAGAAGUGGAUGAUUGUCCUCUUCAGUCGCUAGUGGCUCCCUAGGUGAUUGGGAAUGAGGAUGGGGGACACAGGUAGAUCACCUUUUGGCCUUAUCAUCUUAUUUGCAACUAGGGAUAAACUGACUUUCUUAUUUGACAAGAUCUCUUUGGAGGAGAAAAUCAAAUUAUAGGUGUGAACAUGUUUCAAAUAAAUUGUCAAAAAGGCAACAUUCUGCAUCUUUUUUAGAAAGGGCAAUUUUCAACAAGCCAUUCCUACAACAGGACUUGAAGGUCAUUCUAUAUCAAAGCAGUGUGAAGAUUCCAGUUGGUGUACUUUUCACGCUCAGUUGGCAAACUUUUAAAUGCCUAUGGCAGACUGAAUGAUGGCCCCUCAAAGAUCUCCACAUCUACCCCCUGGAACCUGUGACUAUGUUACUUUACACAGCAAAAGAGAUUUUACAAAUAUAAUUAAGUUAACAAUCUUGAGAUGGGGAGAUUUUCCUGGGUUAUCUGGAUGGGCUCAGUACAAUCACAAAUCUUCUUAUGAGAGGGAGGCGAGAAGGUCAACGGCAGAAGAAAGAGAUGGAUAAAGGAAGCAGAGCUUGGAGUGCUGCACUUUGAAGAUGUAGGGAAGGGCCCUGAGCCAAGGAAUGUCGGUGGCUGCUAGAAGCUGGAAAACAUAAGAAAACAGUUUCUCCCCAUGAAGUAUCCAGGAGGAGCACAGUCUUACCAACACUUUGAUUUAGGCUUCUGACUUCCAGAUCUGUAAGUGAAUAAAUCUCUAUUGUUCAGAGCCUCUACCUUGGUGGCAAUUUGUUGCAAUACACAUAGGAAACUAAUAUCAUUUCCUGCCCCCCUCCUUCUGUCCCUCUCUUCUUUUUUCCCUCUCCCCAUGUUCCCUUCUCCCUGCUCUUUCCGUCAACUCCCAUCCUUUUCUCCCUCCUCUGCCCUUUUGGGAGUAAACCAAAAGCUGAGAGUGGAGGAUGAGGUAAGGCAACAAAGACAGCUGUACUGCUAGAGGGAGCCUCUGGUCAUCAGGGAAAGA
Molecule: long non-coding RNA, 4855 nt
Filed under: Sus scrofa (pig)
Lineage: Eukaryota; Metazoa; Chordata; Mammalia; Artiodactyla; Suidae
Description: lncRNA (ENSSSCG00015045039.1)
Source: RNAcentral